GAUGAACGCUGGCGGCGUGCCUAACACAUGCAAGUCGAACGAACGGACGAGGAGCUUGCUUCUUUGACGUUAGCGGCGGACGGGUGUGAAACAUGUGUAUAACCCACCUAUAUGACGGGGAAAACCUCGAGAAACCGGAGCUUAUCCCGGAUGAUAUUCUGAAGCGCAUGGUGGAAAAGUGAAAGACGGUCUUUCUGUCACUUAUCGCUGGAUCCCCGCUGGAUUAGCUGGUUGGUAAGGUCACGGGCUACCAAGGCGACGAGGCGUCGACGAGCUGCGGGGGUGGUCGGCCACCCGGGAAAGGGAACACCGUCCCGGAUCCUAAGGGAGGGAGCAGUAGGGAAUGUUCGGCAAUGGGCGGAAGCCUUACGGAGCAGCGCCGCGUGUGAGGUGGAGGUCUUCGGAGCGUAAAACUCUGUUAUUAGGGAAGAACAGAUGUGUAAGUAACUGUGCACAUCUUGACGGUACCUAAUCAGAAAGCCACGGCUAACUACGUG
RNAcentral lists this ribosomal RNA (497 nucleotides) under uncultured bacterium. RNAcentral's name for it is "partial 16S ribosomal RNA". It matches the Rfam family "Bacterial small subunit ribosomal RNA", at positions 28 to 507 of the family's 1533-position model. The record is from RNAcentral.